Molecule: ribosomal RNA, 494 nt
Filed under: uncultured bacterium
Lineage: Bacteria
Description: bacterial SSU rRNA
Rfam family: Bacterial small subunit ribosomal RNA
Source: RNAcentral
AUGAACGCUAGCGACAGGCCUAACACAUGCAAGUCAGGGGCAGCACAAGGAGCAAUCUGAGGUGGCGACCGGCGCACGGGUGAGUAACACGUAUGCAACCUGCCUGUAAGCGGGGAAUAACCCGUUGAAAGACGGACUAAUACCGCAUAAUACUAAAUUACUGCAUGGUAAUUUAUUUAAACAUUUAUGGCUUACAGAUGGGCAUGCGCAUGAUUAGCUAGUUGGAGAGGUAACGGCUCCCCAAGGCAACGAUCAUUAGGGGUUCUGAGAGGAAGGUCCCCCACACUGGUACUGAGACACGGACCAGACUCCUACGGGAGGCAGCAGUGAGGAAUAUUGGUCAAUGGACGAGAGUCUGAACCAGCCAAGUCGCGUGCAGGAAGAAUGUCCCUAUGGAUUGUAAACUGCUUUUGCAGGGGAAUAAAGUGCAUCACGCGUGAUGUUUUGUAUGUACUCUGCGAAUAAGGAUCGGCUAACUCCGUGCCAGCCGCGGC